AGCUCCGGCGAAAGAUAUCAGAUUUGGAGCUGCCUGAUGUGAAUAGUGUAUGCUACUAUUGAGGUGUUGACUAUAAGUAGAAGCUACUAGGCUUCUUCCUCCUCAAGCUGCAGCCAGCACCAAGCAUCACACGCACAUGGUGAAGGAGAGAGAAACCCUCUCUUUCUCUCUCUAAAUAUCUCUCUCAUCUCUCUAUAUUUCUCGCCCAAAUUCGCGGCGUUGGUGGAGAUCGAGCUUGCGAACGCGUUGGAGGCGACGGAUUGAGCUUUCGUGCGCCCGUUGGAGCGGCGUGUUUUCGUUGCGGCGUUCACGUUGGGGUAAGCUUUUGGGAUUUGGCUUAAUCCUUAGCAUUAAGUGUUCUAUUAGCCUCUAAUGAGCUUUGUUGGCAUGUUGAUCCAUUUAAUUUGGAUUAUUUGGAGGUUAAUUGUACGUUAGGGCUCCGAAUGGGGUUUUGUAAAAUAUAAGGGUUUGAUCUCAUUUGACCUUUCGUAAACCUAAUUGCUAGGUAACGAAACGCGUUGGCGAAGACGGUUCGGUAAUCCGACGAGCCGUUACAAAGUUAUUAAAGAAAUAGACGUUUAGGCUUCGGGUCCGCCGGGAGGGCCGAGGCGACGUCGUAAAAUCAUGGAAAUGGAUUUGAGGCAUCGUGGCACAUAACCGAAGACCUAUAAUUUUCGGGGCUGCGAAGCGGAGCACGGUUGAGGCGCAGUUGCAGUAUCGGGCCGUGCCGGGUGCCGAGUGCCGCGGGAGGCCGAUUGCAAGUGUCGACAAGCAAUCGGAACGCGAGUUAAGGUGGGUUGUGCUUACCGAAGCGACUAGGUCGCCCUUUAUGUCUUAGCAAUGUAAUCUCAUGUUGAUGCAUGUGCAUGUAGACAAGAGCAAGGAUGCAUGUUAAUAAAGAUGCAUAAAGUAGAUGCUAAGUAGAAAGCAUGAUAAAUGGUAAUGCUUAGAGCAAAUGCAUAUUAAUAACAAUGCAUAGUGGAGCAUAAUGAUUAUGGCAUUAGAUAAUGCUAGCUAAUGUAAAGUAAUGCAUGAUAAUGAUAAUGCAUAGAUGAAAAUGCUUAGUAGAAAUGCAUGGUGAGCAAGUUACACAAUGCUAAUAAUGCAUGAUAAUAAUGUAAUGCUAAGUAAUGCAUGAUAUGAAGUAAAUGCAUAUUAAUAAUAAUGCAUGAUGAGGAUGCUAAGUAAGGGAUGCAUGUUAGUAAUGAUGCAAAGAGUAAUUGCUAAGUAGAAAGCAUGAUGCAUGGUAUAUGUAUAUAAACCAGAUGAUAACUCUAGGAUGAGUAGAGAUGACUGGACAACUAAGUUGUCAGGUAGAUCGAGUGGCAUCUAACCUAGUGUUAAAGAACAUAGGUUGGUUAGUAAACCUAGAGUUGAACAAUCUAGGUGUGUGGCAUCUAACCUAGUGUUAGUAAACCUAGGUUGAACUAGUAAACCUAGAAGUGGAUAUCUAGGCAAAGAUGAUAAGAACCUAGCAAGUGUAUCUAGGUUAAGUGAUGUGGACAUAGAACCUAGAGUGUUGGAACCUAGGUUGAUGAGUAUAGUGGUAUAGCCACUAGAUUGAGCUAGGUCGACAGUAUAGGGUUGGCUAUGAACCCUCGACCUGUGGUAAGUGGAUUCCGGAAUCCCAGGACUUAUGAUGUCCCUGGUACAGGCUAGGGCGUUCGUGCGACGAUUUCGCCGCCGAGCUUGGUACCGUGGGUAGAUUGGGGGCGAUCACAUGGAGAUCACCGCCCGGGGCUUGAACCAUUGUGCUGGCGUUUGUGCGACGAUUUCGCCGCCAGAGUGGUUAAGCCAUUUGAGGAUCAGACCGCCAGAGUAGACUGAAUCCAUGCUGGGUAAGUACGAUGCGGGUGCCUCCAGGUGACUGAGUCUGACAUGAUCGUUGUUGGGUGUGGUGCGACCCGUUCGCCGCCAGACGGUAUGUCAUGUCUCGAGCUCACGCUGGGUAUGUGCAACGCGAUCGCCACCGAUGGUCAAGUCUUGUGACUCGAGCCGUAUUCAGCGUGUGCGACGAUUUCGCCGCUAGGAGGCUGAGUCAGAGAGAGUGCGGUAGGCUGUUGAGCAGCCAGUGCGCGGACUAUCCGCAGAUGAUUGACUCGAAGCCGAGUCGGGUGGUUAGCUAUGAUAGGGUAGAGGAACCCUUAUGAGCCAGAGAUAGAGGCUUGAGCUAAGGUAAUAGAAACCUUAGAAGCCAGUGGUUGGUGUUGUGAUCCUAAGGUAAUAGAAACCUUAGAGUAAAGUUAUGAGCUAAAGUAGCCAAGUAAAAGUAGAAUUCAUAUGAUCUACUAGUUGUUGCAUGGUUUUCAUAUCGCAUAUCGUGAGGCAUGGCAUGUAUUUCAAUUGAAUAUAUAUAUCUGUUGUAUAUUGUUGAACUAACAUGUUGCAGUGCCUCCUCGGACCUAUCGGUCGAGCUUUUCCCUUGGGUGGCCGUACCCACUGGGAACCAUGGAGUUGGUUCUCACCCCACGUUGUUUCGGGGUGUUUUCAGGUUGUACAUGUGCGGCGCGACGGCGCGAGGCGAGGGCGUAGCUCAGUAGAUAGCGCCCUGCCACAGAGACCGAGGUAGAAGUACCCUGAGGCAGUCUAGCUUAGGGGACUAGAAGACAAGGAAAAAUAAAAUGUAUUAAACUCGUAAACCCUAAUGUGAUGAG
Molecule: long non-coding RNA, 2654 nt
Filed under: Ananas comosus (pineapple)
Lineage: Eukaryota; Viridiplantae; Streptophyta; Magnoliopsida; Poales; Bromeliaceae
Description: long non-coding RNA (ACOM_LNC041829)
Source: RNAcentral